GAGGAGAGGACAGCCGAGGAGGGAAGGUGCUCUGGACACCAGCGGGGGCCUUUCUCAGAUGCCCAUCGGCCUUAACUGGGCAGGGGCCACCAAGACGGCCACCCCCUUGGCCUCCAGAGGGGCUUCCAAGGACCCUGGCACUAGGAGCCCCACAGUGUGUGGCCCCUGGGUGGCAUCCCUGCAGGCAGGCAGGGGCCCAGGGCCAAGGAAGGGGUUGGCAUCAGCCCUGAGGUCACAGAGGCCUUGCUCUCCCCCUUGCCAGGCUGCCCAGCUGGGGGAAACCGACCCCAUGGUGCCCUGGGCCACCCUGGCCCUCGUGGCCACCAAUGUGGCCUUCUUCUGCCACCCCGUCCACCCGCCCAGCGGGACCUGCCUGAGCGUGGCGUCUGUGUGGGAGCAGGGCCAGUGGGGGCGCCUGCUCUGGGCCCCCUUCCACCACCUGGGCCUCCUCCACCUGCUCCUCAACAUGGGCACCCUCUUCUGGCUGGGCUGGAGCCUGGAGCAGGAGGUGGGCAGCCUCCGGACGGGCACCCUGCUGCUGGCCCUGGCCCUGCUGGGGGGCCUGGUGCACCUUGGGCUCAACGCCCUGCUGGCGCUGGUGACCGGGCACCACUGGUACUGGGAGCACUGCGCGGUGGGCUUCUCAGGUGCAGCCCCCUCUCCCUGGGGUCUCAAGCAAACGAGGGAGGGGGGGUUGGAGACCCCUGGAGAAGCCCUGAGCCAGCCGCAGGUCCCUGCGCCUGGCUGCACUGGAGGGCACCAGGGGAGAUAGCCUCUGCCCUCCCUUGCAGCGUCCCAGGGUCCCUCCUGGGGGGUCUUACCGCUGGGUGACACAGGGAGGGAAGAGAUGCCCCUUCCUCAAAGUCCCAAGGGGCUUCCCUCUAGAAGGGCGAGGACUGUUGAUCGGGGCAGUUCGUCCUGGGAGCUCUGUGGGUGCCAGGAGGGGCAGGGGGUGCUGGUGUGGGGGUCCCUCCCUCCCCUCCUCACAGGGGCCCCUCCCCUUUCCGUCCUGCUGCGCUGCAGGGGUCCUGUUCUCCCUGGAAGCCAUGGGCAGGCAGGCGGAGGCCUUCCCCGUGGCCACCAUGGCUACCGGCAUGACCACCAGAUGGCUCUGCAUUGCGGAAUGCCUGGCCCUGGCGCUCUUCUGCCCCAGGAGUUCCUUCACCGGCCACUUCUCCGGCAUCCUGCUUGGCCUGGCUCUCUCCGCCAUCAAACUGCUCUGGGAGCUCACCUGACGGAGGCCCCCCCCCCCUUCCAGGCUCUGUGGCGGCCAGGCACCCCCUCCCCAAAUACAGCCUCUUCCCUCCCCACACGGCUCUGCAUGACGGUGGUCUCUGGGGGAUGGGCAGGAUCUCGGCCCCUGCAAUCGCAAUGCCCCCCCUCUCCCCCCACAAUGCUGGAUUGGGGCCCUGGCCGGGGCUGCCUCUGCACCAGUCUCCCAGCAGAGGGCGCCCUUGGCCACUGCUGAAGGAAGGCCAGGGGCAGACAGACACCAACUCGGCUUCUACUGGUUCAGCCUCUAGGACUCCCCACCGGGCACAGGUGGAGGCUGCCCCAAGGAAGCCCCAGGAACAAGAGGGGCCCCUGGGCAGCAGCGGGUGGCAACUGGGGCUCCUGGGAAGGACCAUGCGCAUCAGAGGCAUCCGUAGCAGCUCCGGGGGGGGGGGGUCCAAUUGAAGCCCUGUGGACUUCAACCCCCAGAAUUCCCCAGCUGGCAGAGCCCGGACAGCCCCGGAGCCGAGACGACUGAAUGGGCCCCCACUCAGGAGUCCGACUUCAAUUCCCCAGGGGUUUCCCAUCAGCCCAGGGCCACCUAAACACAGCCAGCUGGGCAGGGAGGGGUGCCCAGCUAUCAGGAUGCCCCCCCCCCAUAGAAUGUGGGCUGAAAAGGCACCACCUCUCCAAUCCGUCUCUGGGUGGUUGGGGGUGUUUCAAUGUGUGAGCAUCCCUCUGAGCCCCCCCCCCCUUGCACACACACACACACAGACACACACACAGAGUGGGGGAGCUCCGCAGGGGGCCGCUUGUGCGGUCCCCAAAAGAAAACAGCUGGGCACAUCUGUUAAAUCCACUUUCUCUCCUCGUAUAGAUUCUUUUAUAGACAUUUUGAGUGCAACGCGUCUCGUCUCUCUCUCUAUACAUAUAUAGAUUUGGUGAGCAUAGAUAAGAUACAAGCUUUUAAAAACGUAGGUCCAUAUUUUUCUCCAAAAUAUAAACUCGUCUUCUUUGGGAAGGGGGGGCAGCGAGGGGAAGGACGGGGGGGGGGGCUGGAGGGGGGGUUCCAAAAAGAAAAACUGAGCACGGUGAGCAGACCCUCCUCCCCCUCCCCCAAGGAGAGCCCUGAAAUGAGGUGCAAAGGAGGGGCCCAUGACACCCCCACCCACCCACAGCCCCCUGGCCAUCCGGAGACUCCCCCCCCCCCAGGCGGUGGCUUUGCUUCCAAUGGGGGGCAGGGGGGGCGGCGGAAGGGAGUGCAGAUUCUCUGCCCUCAAUUCGGGGGCUGUGGGGGGGCGAAGGGGGAGUUUAAAUUCAGCCGUGUCAGAUUUCCCCCCCCCCAGAUAAGAGCAGGACGGGGGGGGUAGGGGGGGGGCUUCCGAAAGCAGAAGUGUCGUCACUUGUGGACAUGACUCAGCAGGCACUGAUUGACAAGGGAGGGGGGUCGGGGGGUGGAAGACUUUGGAGGGCAGCAUUUUGUGAGGGGGGGGGACAGACUCUGGGGGAGAGUCCCCCCCCCGGAAAGAGUCGGUCCCCCAUGGGGCAGGUGAGGGAGGACAUCCAGGCAGAAGGAAGCUGAGGGGGGGGGGCUCAAAAGGCUCCAUAUGGCACAUGACAGGAGACCCUCCCCUUGGAAAUUUAUGGGAGGGGGCUUCAAGGCGUCUCCACAGUGCUGGGAGGGGGUGCGGUUCCCCCUUCCUUCUCUUUCGGGUCCCCUCAGGGGUCGUGGCUGUUGGGCACACAAAGCCCCCCACCCUCACUGAGGCUCACUAACUGAAGCAUCCCUGACAGACGACCCCCCCCCCAGGUUUAGUGCAAGAAGGCAGCGAGAGCGAGGAGGGGCAGCUGAGGGGGUCUCUGGCCUUCUCCCCCUGCUAACCAGAGGGUGCCUGGUGGGCACUGGGGGGCGGGGGACAGGCCAAAGAGGGGAGAGGGGGCACAGAUUAGGCCCACUGCACUGUCCCCCCCACGGGAUACAUCGCAAGGUCUGCUGGGAGGCCCCGGGUGGGGGAGGGGCUGCUGCAGACCCUCCUCAGGGGAUUUCUGCAGGCUCUGUGCUGUGCGGGGGGGGGGGGGGGAGGAAGGAGGAGGGGCUAAUUCCAGUGGGACCCCCUCUGGUCCUUCCCAAAGGGGUCUUUGGCCCCGGCUGCCCCCUCCCUCCCCUCCUGCCCUCUGCUCAGGCCCCGGUUGCCCUCGGGACCCCUGUCUCUGCUGUGCUAUGCAGAUGGGAGCCCCCCCCCCACCCGGGGGUCUCCGUCCGCCCUGGAGGCCGAAGGGGGCUAGGAGAAGGGGUUGGUGGGGGGGUGCUUUGCCUGGGCGAAGGGGGGCGAAGGUGCUGCGGCCAUCGGGUUC
Molecule: long non-coding RNA, 3567 nt
Organism: Thamnophis elegans (Western terrestrial garter snake)
Lineage: Eukaryota; Metazoa; Chordata; Lepidosauria; Squamata; Natricidae
Exons: 2
Source: RefSeq, a predicted model, not a curated record